Molecule: long non-coding RNA, 5087 nt
Organism: Monomorium pharaonis (pharaoh ant)
Lineage: Eukaryota; Metazoa; Arthropoda; Insecta; Hymenoptera; Formicidae
Exons: 3
Source: RefSeq, a predicted model, not a curated record
ACAGGUAUUAUAUCGUGUGUGCUCGAGUGCAUGAAACAGAAAGGAAAAGGUUUCAAAGAUUAUGAAAAAUUGGUAAUACUAACAUUUGAUGAAGUCUAUCUGUCUAAUAAAAUUGCGAUAGAUCGCAAAUAUGAGCAGGUCGUUGGAUCUCACAAAACGUGUCAAUGUGUCAUGAUACGAAGCUUAUUUUCUAAUUCGAAACAGCCAGUGUACUAUAACUUUGAUGAACCUAUGACUAAAAGUACGCUUCUGCAUGUUAUUUUAGAAAUAUAUAAUAUCGGUUAUACGGUUGUUGCUAUGACGAGUGAUAUGAGUUCGAGUAAUAUGUGAUUGUGGUCAAAAUUAGAAAUAGGAAUUGCACCCAAAAAUGUUACUUUCAGCAUCCUGUUUGUAUAGAACUAAAAAUUUUUGUUUUUACAGAUAUGCCUCAUCUCAUUAAACUUGUGCGUAAUCAUUUCCUCGAUAAUGAGUUCAACGUGAAGUAAUUGGACAACGGAGUAAUUGUUAAUAAAAAAUGUUUGGAACGGAUAUUAGCUAUUAAUAGUAAGGAUUUGAAAGUGGCAUACAAAAUAUAUCUCAGUACCAUUUAGACUUGCAAGGUACUGAGCGACAAAAAGUACUUCCAGCUGUUCAACUACUGUCUGCUAAUACUGCUUCUGCAUUACAAUGGUGUGGGCAAAACGGUUUUCUUGAAAAUGUAGAGUGGAUGAAAACAUCAUGUAUGACCAAGUUGUUGAACGACUGGUUUGAUAUAUUUAAUUCAAAAUCGAUGUAUGGCAAUCAUUCAGGAAAAAAUGCGUACGGCAAAAACUUAGAAGAACAAAAUGCAAUACUUCACAAAGUGACGUCUUUCAUGUACAAAUUAAGAGUAGGAAGGCACAAAAGUUUAAUAUUAUUUCAGAAAGGGUUUAUCGUAAGCAAUAAUUCUUUGGAACAAUUAUUACCGUACUUAAUCGAAAAGUAUAUUAUGACUGAUAUUAAAUAUGUGAUAACAAAUAGGUUAAACCAAGAUGUAUUGGAAAAUUUUUUUUCUUUUAUAAGAUCGAAUGGUGGUGGUGCAAACGAUCAACCAUCAGCCUUAGAUUUUAAGUAUAGAAUGAAACGUUACAUAUUAGGAAAAUUUUCUACGAUAACUUUCUGCAAAAAUACAAAUGUCACAGAAAGCGAACAAAAUCUAUGCUGUUUAAUAUCCGUUUAACAAUAAUAAUAAUAAUUGUGAAGAGUAUACUUUAAGUGAAAUGUUAAGUCCGUACGCAAACGAAGAAGAAACAAUCUAUCAUGUCGAAGAACAAUUGUUAAUGGAGAAUGAAAGUAAUGAUAAGAAAAAUUGCGUUCCAUGUUUCAAUUUAGUAUAUAUUCCUACUUUAGAAGAAGAACAGUUAUUAAAAUCCUUAGAUGAAAUGGAAAUUGUCGACAAUAUUGAAGCUCAAGGUUUACUAUAUAUAGCUGGCUAUGUAGCAUACAGGUUCAAAAAUAAACAUGAUACACUAGGUAUUCAAACAUGUGAGUUACCAACUAAUAAUGACCAAGAUUGGUUACAAUUCAUUUCCCGAGGGAAAUGCAUGUACCCAUCACCUGAGCUUUUAAAAGCUGCACAUGUCAUGAACAGAGAAUUUUGUAAGUAUCAGUUUAAAGCUUAGCAAAGACAAAUUUAUCUUCAAAAAACUUGCGAAUAGAGUAGAAAUUGUAUUAAAACCUAUUGAAUUGCCAAGAGAAGUCUUGUUAUGUCUUAUUAGGACAAGAACCUACAUUAGAGUACGAGAAAUUAAUCGAAUUAUUGCUUUAAAAAAUAGAUUUAAAAAUAAGAAAAAAAAGUUAACCAAAUUUACCAAUAAUAAAUCUUUUUCAUAGCAUUUUUAUAUAUGUUUUUAUUAUUCUUGUCAUUUAACUAUCCCUACAAAGUACAUAGUUUCUUUCGAAGUUUCAUACGAAAAAUGUAUUGACAUUUUUAUGUAUUCGUUUUGUAUACUUUUCUAUAUUUAUUAAGUGUGUAAUGUUUAUUUAUAUUUAUUAAUUUAUAAACUGUGACAAGAUAUUUAUUAAUUCAUAAACUAUUACUUCACAAUAAAUUCUUUCUUGCAAAUUUAAAAUUAAAAUAAUAUAUCUAACGAGAAUGCUACUAACAAGCUAUUUAGAAUCAGCAGUUUUAAAUUUACCGCUUAUUUGUGACGUCACACUUUGGCAAUUCUGAUUGGUAGCAUGCGCAUGAGCAUACCCUUGUCUUUAUACCAUGGUCAAAACUAGGUGUCAGUUCCUUGUAUCUCUACUAACCGUCAACAAGAGCAAAGACGAAAACGACCCAUAGGUAAGGUUAGAGAGUGCCGAAAAACACGGUAGGAAUUGAGGGUUAAGAAUCUUGUUAAAUUUUAUGUUUCAGACUACCUCGAGAGCUCAAAUUACCUCCGCUAACAACAUAUUUUGGCCUUAUGUUCAUAAAUCGUUAAAUAAAUAUAUAUUUUUAUGCAACAAAAAAAUUGUUUUCUAUUCUUUAAAAGUGUACCUUUCAGUGAAAAAAAAGUUUGUACCAAUACAUGCAAUACUUAAAAAAAAUUCAUUAAAAAUAACUUAUUUUUUCGGGCGUCGCACUGUAAUAGCCCCUUAAAUGACCCAUGUAAAAAAUUUUAACCCUAAAGAGAAUCAAAUGUAUGUAGAAUACCCAUACGCACACUCAAACGCACGCACGCACACACACAAGAAAAUCAACGAGAAACUAAACAUUAACCCUCUGCCUACACACGGGGUUACGGUAACCCCAGUCGAUUUUAAAAUGUUCGCUACUUAAAAGUAUUUAGCAAGGGGACGCUGGAACCGGGGGGGGGGGGAGUUUGAACUGUGCUUUACUUAUUCCUUUUUGGGCGUUGUGAAUGUUCUGAAAACAACAGAAGUAGGAGCAUCGAAAGUUUGUGUUGGGAUUACAGUUACCCCGUGUGUAGGGAACGUAACAAAAAAAAUGGAAAAGUUCCAAAUUUGACGGUUUCACAGUUCUACGACUAUGAGCCAACAGAAGAAGAAAUGAAUCUUCUUGAAAAUUUCAAUAAAACUGAUGACCGAGAAUGGAUCUGCAAUUGAGGCUUAAAAUACAUCGCGGGAUAUGUUGCCUAUCAGUCCAGGGACAAGUAUUCCUUUUUGGGAAAUUCAACAAAAGAUUUAGGAUCGCUGGAUAACUCGGAAUAUAUGUUAUCGGUGGCAGAUCUUAUAAGAGAAGAAUGACUCCGUUCCUCGUGAUGCUCUUUUGUGUCUGGUGCGCACGAGAACGUACAUCAAGCUCAGAAAAUAAAAUAUAGAAAUUCGAGAACAAAAUAGGUUUAAGAAAACAACAAAAAAAGUAGGAAAGACAAAAAUGAAGAAAAUGUCCAAUAAAAUUAUUUAACUAGCAAUGAAUGUUUCGUUCAUAUUUGUUUGAAUGUUUAAGUAUAAUAUUCAAAUAAACCGCUAGUAAUGGCCGACAAUUGUGCAGCGUUCUCUAUUGACUGGUUCAACAUGAUGCAUAUUGCCUCACCUUAUUUCCUUCCACCAAUGUCUACCCAAGCACAUUGUCAGACAAAAGAGUAAACUGUGCCAGUAAUAUAAUUAUCUCUAUAGAAAUAAAUAAUUAUCUUGAUAUAUAUUGUGACAUAACGUCUGUAGGCUGUCGUUCGUUAUAACGAGCGCGUGUGUCCGAUUUUGCUUUACCACACAAAUCCUGCGUUCUCCCGCCUCGGGAGUAGGCGCAUUAGCGUGGCGCAUUUUAUUUUGUGUUCGUAUAUUGUUUUGGGUGCCGUCUUUCUGCUUAAAUUCAGUUAUUUUCAAGGUCUAUAGAUGAACGAUAGGAGGAAAAGGAAGAUCUUCGCAUGAGCGCUAUUUUGGGGCUACAAAGUGUAUGUAUGAGUGUGUGUUGUACUAGAAGAGUGAGUGAAAAAUAGGAAAGGUGAAAUUGAUGUAUCGUAUUGGUCCCGCCAUGUUGGAGCCAAAUGUAUAAAUAUAAAUGCAAAGACCUUUUUUCCCCUUCCGUCGUUCAUCUACUACUUGAUUAUUUCAUUUUAAUCUGAUUACAUGUUCAGUGGUUAACCAUCGCGGCGUUGCGAGGGAUUAUCUAUUGUACAGCGUACGUUCUCCAAGAGAUAAUUUUGUUAGCGGGAGGUCACGAACUUGGAGCGUGCCACGCAAGCUGUAACCUGUUGUAGAUUCCGGCCGCCCUUGACUAUCCUCGCGUUCGAAACUGUGGCAACAAUUUAAGUGCGUCUGUACAAUAUCAAGACAUGCGCAAAGAUAGAAAUCGCAUCGCGAUUAUUGUACUUGUUCUUUUCCCGGCUUAAUGGUUAAUUCAAGCAAAAAUCGGUUUCGUGAAGGUAUACUUAAAUUAUUUUUUAUAAUUAAAAAUUUUUUUCAUUUAAAAAUUUUUUAAUAAAAAAUCAUAAAUUAUAAAUCUUGUUAGAUUAGCUCCUUGACGUUUUAUCUAGAUACGUGGAGAAUUAAUAAUGUAGAGAACAAUAAAUCUGGCUGUUAAAGUUAUGAAAGAACUAAACGAAUCGCAACGCCUCCGAGCCCCUUAAGCCUUAAUGAAUCGACCUUGUUACAAAUUCAAAAUUGAACAUCUCGGCAUCUAAUUGCCCUAGCACAAAAUUUCAAAAACGGUUUGAAAGAUUUGAAACCAUACUUUUCGAAAUUUGUAUCGACAUUGCAGGCAAAAGUUUUCAAAAUGAUGGAUGACAAGGAAAGUGCAAGCAAAGUUGAUAAAUAAGUAUUCGAGCUUGCGACAACGCGUGGCGUAAAGUAGGUGUCAUAGCCCAAUGGGACAAAAAUCCUCUAAAAGUAUACAGUAUUAUCUUUAAAAUGCUUUUUUACGGAGCUUGAUACAAUAAUUUUUUGCUGAGUUAUGCAAGUUUAAAGAGAAAAGCUAUUUUUCAAUUCAAAUUUUAAUUACUGCAAAAAAUGAUCGCAUCGAACUCUGUAAAAAAGCAUUUUAAAGCUAAUGCUCUAUAUUUUCAUUUGCAUUUCGUUCUAUUGGGCUGUGACACCUGAUUCAUGCACCGCCGAAAACGCAGAUCUUUAUUUAUCAAUUUUGCAUCCUCUAACUUUGUCAUCCGCCAUUUUGAAAAAAAUAGCCA